AUGAAGAGCUCCGGCCGCUGUGUCCGCUUCGCACGCACGCCACUCACAACCUGCAGACCGCGGAUGAAGCGCCUAAUCAAGAGCCUGCAGCAUUUCUCGGUGACCUCGUCGGAGCACGUGGAGUCGUUCAGCAAGAUGACGCUGAGGGACUUUGGUUUCUAUGUCAGCGACGCAGACGCAAUGAGAUACGUGGCAGACGAGGCCUACCCCAUUGCAGAGCGAGCCUUUCAGCUUGAGAACGCACUGCACCAGUGCAGGCUCAGCGCCAGCACAGCGCAGGUCUCCCCCAUGGCGUGGAAGUCGUCAAGUAGCGACACGCUCGGUUGCUCGACGCUCUACCAGGACGAGGCGGUCACGCUGUGCUGGUUUGUGCUUCCACCUGGCAAAGCACUCCCGCUCCACGAUCACCCGGGGAUGACGGUGUGGCAGCGCGCCAUGCACGGCCGACUGCAUCUCUGCUCCAUCACUCGAGAAGCUGACUCACAAACUGGCACCGGUGCAUCGACGGCGCCGAUCAACGGCACUGUGGUCUUCGACGGGGAGCUGGACGGGGCCGGGGAUGCAAUUCCGGCGUCGGACGUGCUGGGAUUCACGCCCGCAGACGGCGACGGCGGCGGCAUGCUGCAUGAGAUUCGCAACAUCGACGCGACGCAGCCCGCCUUGUUUGUGGACAUCAUUUCACCCCCAUACAACCAAGCACCGUCCAACAUUGUAUGCGGCUACUACACCGCCGAGCCCCUCGAUGCCACCGCCACGCUGCUGCCCGCUCUCGCGGCGGACUGUGGUGUGCGCCAUCAACUGAAGGCGGGCGACAAGGUGCGCCUGCACCCCCGCAUCAACUACAGCGGCCCUGCCAUGAACGCAUUUCUGCACGUGGUGUGAGGCAGAGGUUGGGGAAAGAAGGGGAACAAUGUAGCACGAGGCAACACGCGGCGGCGAUGGAGAGGUGGUGAGGGGCUGUAGGUAUACACUCGUAUGCUUGCAGCAUCAGCAGCAGCGGCGGCGAUGCCAUUGCGAAGAGACUCCGCACGUGUGGUCUUGACACUCGGCUCCACCCGCCCUCUCAGCCGGCACUCCUCCAUCCCCAUCUGUAUCUGCCGUGUAUCGGGCACGUCACUAUCACAUCUACAACGAACGCGCGUCCGCUC
This 1148-nucleotide unclassified non-coding RNA is filed under the name Leishmania donovani. Its description in RNAcentral is "gene:LdHU3.06.1430(CDS-product:Protein_of_unknown _function_(DUF1637)_putative)". Lineage: Eukaryota; Euglenozoa; Kinetoplastea; Trypanosomatida; Trypanosomatidae. The record is from RNAcentral.